UACGUAGGGUGCGAGCGUUGUCCGGAAUUAUUGGGCGUAAAGAGCUUGUAGGCGGUCUGUCGCGUCUGCUGUGAAAAUCCGGGGCUCAACCCCGGACUUGCAGUGGGUACGGGCAGACUAGAGUGUGGUAGGGGAGACUGGAAUUCCGUGGUGUAGCGGUGAAAUGCGUAGAGAUCGGAGGAACACCAGUGGCGAAGGCGGCUUGCUGGGCCGGACCUGGACGCUGAGACGCGAAGGCGUGGGGAGCGAACGGGG
RNAcentral lists this ribosomal RNA (255 nucleotides) under uncultured bacterium. RNAcentral describes it as "partial 16S ribosomal RNA". It matches the Rfam family "Bacterial small subunit ribosomal RNA", at positions 524 to 777 of the family's 1533-position model. The record is from RNAcentral.